GCCAGCAUAGCUCAGUGGUAGAGCAGGGCUUUCAUAAGGCCAAGGUCGCAGGUUCGAUCCCUGCUGCUGGCACAA
This 75-nucleotide transfer RNA is filed under the name Candidatus Liptonbacteria bacterium RIFCSPLOWO2_01_FULL_52_25. RNAcentral describes it as "tRNA-Met". It matches the Rfam family "tRNA". From Rfam's summary of the family: Transfer RNA (tRNA) molecules are approximately 80 nucleotides in length. Their secondary structure includes four short double-helical elements and three loops (D, anti-codon, and T loops). Further hydrogen bonds mediate the characteristic L-shaped molecular structure. tRNAs have two regions of fundamental functional importance: the anti-codon, which is responsible for specific mRNA codon recognition, and the 3' end, to which the tRNAs corresponding amino acid is attached (by aminoacyl-tRNA synthetases). tRNAs cope with the degeneracy of the genetic code in two manners: having more than one tRNA (with a specific anti-codon) for a particular amino acid; and 'wobble' base-pairing, i.e. permitting non-standard base-pairing at the 3rd anti-codon position. The record is from RNAcentral. Lineage: Bacteria; Candidatus Liptoniibacteriota.